Tympanuchus pallidicinctus (lesser prairie-chicken) is the source of this 489-nucleotide long non-coding RNA. RefSeq lists it as uncharacterized. The transcript is spliced from 2 exons. The record is from RefSeq and is a predicted model, not a curated record. NCBI's taxonomy places the organism in Eukaryota, Metazoa, Chordata, Aves, Galliformes, Phasianidae.
CAGAGAUCCAGCUCACAAAGCCCAAACAUCAACAGAAGAAGCAACACAGCAGCAACAGCAGCACAAAGGACGGUGAGAAGCCCAGAGCAAAACUCGAUGCAAAUAAAGAUAUGUGGAAAACAUCUGGGAGCUGUAACAACACGGGGGAGCAGAGCGUGAGUUUGCAUUCAGCUGAGGGGGCAAACAGAACCUAAACUGGCAGCAAUCGUUAUCUUGUUGGUACCUCCCCUGGAAAAUUCUGAGGCUAUUCCAGCUUCCAAAUGGUUCUGGUUAAUUACCUUUGUUUAGGAAAGUCAGGGUGGUGUUGCAGCAGAACAGAAUACAAGCAAUGUUUCUGAACACAAGCUGGAAAUGUCAGCCAAAGACAACAGCACGGCGCUGGUGAUGCGGCCACAGAGUCUCACGUUUCACAAACCAGCAGUUCAUACCCAACUCCUAUAAAAGGCCCCCCCAAAACCUGCCCAGGGGACAACAAACACAUCCCCCAGG